UACGUAGGUCCCGAGCGUUAUCCGGAUUUAUUGGGCGUAAAGCGAGCGCAGGUGGUUUAUUAAGUCUGGUGUAAAAGGCAGUGGCUCAACCAUUGUAUGCAUUGGAAACUGGUAGACUUGAGUGCAGGAGAGGAGAGUGGAAUUCCAUGUGUAGCAGUGAAAUGCGUAGAUAUAUGGAGGAACACCAGUGGCGAAAGCGGCUCUCUGGCCUAUAACUGACACUGAGGCUCGAAAGCGUGGGGAGCAAACAGG
This 252-nucleotide ribosomal RNA is filed under the name uncultured bacterium. RNAcentral describes it as "partial 16S ribosomal RNA". It matches the Rfam family "Bacterial small subunit ribosomal RNA", at positions 524 to 776 of the family's 1533-position model. The record is from RNAcentral.